This 486-nucleotide ribosomal RNA is filed under the name uncultured bacterium. RNAcentral's name for it is "partial 16S ribosomal RNA". It matches the Rfam family "Bacterial small subunit ribosomal RNA", at positions 28 to 507 of the family's 1533-position model. The record is from RNAcentral.
GAUGAACGCUGGCGGCGUGCCUAAUACAUGCAAGUCGAACGCUGGAGAUCUAGCUUGCUAGAUCGAAGGAGUGGCGAAAGGGUGAGUAAUACAUAAGCAACCUACCCACGAAGGCUGGGAUAAUCUCUGGAAACGGGGACUAAUACCGGAUAGGUAAUCGGAAGGCAUCUUCUGGUUAUUAAAGGUUAAAAACACUGGUUGGUGGGCUUAUGGCGCAUUAGUUAGUUGGUGAGGUAACGGCCCACCAAGACGAUGAUGCGUAGCCGGCCUGAGAGGGUGAACGGCCACAUUGGGACUGAGACACGGCCCAGACUCCUACGGGAGGCAGCAGUAGGGAAUUUUCGGCAAUGGGGGCAACCCUGACCGAGCAACGCCGCGUGAGUGAAGACGGCCUUCGGGUUGUAAAGCUCUGUUGUAAGGGAAGAACGGUAGAUAGAGAAUAUCUAAGUGACGGUACCUUACCAGAAAGCCACGGCUAACUACGUG